This 76-nucleotide transfer RNA is filed under the name Planctomycetota bacterium. RNAcentral describes it as "tRNA-Ala". It matches the Rfam family "tRNA". From Rfam's summary of the family: Transfer RNA (tRNA) molecules are approximately 80 nucleotides in length. Their secondary structure includes four short double-helical elements and three loops (D, anti-codon, and T loops). Further hydrogen bonds mediate the characteristic L-shaped molecular structure. tRNAs have two regions of fundamental functional importance: the anti-codon, which is responsible for specific mRNA codon recognition, and the 3' end, to which the tRNAs corresponding amino acid is attached (by aminoacyl-tRNA synthetases). tRNAs cope with the degeneracy of the genetic code in two manners: having more than one tRNA (with a specific anti-codon) for a particular amino acid; and 'wobble' base-pairing, i.e. permitting non-standard base-pairing at the 3rd anti-codon position. RNAcentral also lists the same sequence under 1 other name. The record is from RNAcentral. Lineage: Bacteria; Pseudomonadati; Planctomycetota.
GGGGGCGUAGCUCAGCUUUGGUAGAGCGCUUCCAUGGCAUGGAAGAGGUCGAGGGUUCGAGUCCCUUCGCCUCCAC